GGCUGGACCAAAAGUAGUGAAUUCUCUCAGUUGAUUGUUCACAGUGAGUUACAGAUUUGAAUUCCUGUUCUUUCCUUCUUCCUCACUACUGCACUUGACUAAUCUAAA
Molecule: Y RNA, 108 nt
Filed under: Microcebus murinus (gray mouse lemur)
Lineage: Eukaryota; Metazoa; Chordata; Mammalia; Primates; Cheirogaleidae
Description: Y RNA (ENSMICG00000043532.1)
Rfam family: Y RNA
About the family: Y RNAs are components of the Ro ribonucleoprotein particle (Ro RNP), in association with Ro60 and La proteins.
Source: Rfam by way of RNAcentral